UAAAAGUGCGUGUCCAAAGCUGA
This 23-nucleotide non-coding RNA is filed under the name Rattus norvegicus (Norway rat). Lineage: Eukaryota; Metazoa; Chordata; Mammalia; Rodentia; Muridae. The record is from RNAcentral.